GUUCAUCAUCAAUUAGAAGUGAAUUGGUGUAGAAAUGAAGAAGUUAUAGUAAAAGGCAAUUUUGGGUGGGUGUGACAUAUGUGGGCAGGGCGCCCCAGGGUUGGUAAUUGUGCCAUGCAUAGUUGAGAUUGACCGUAUUGUCAUAAGAGAAGUUCAGUAUCAAUUUGAAGUGAAUCGGUGUAGAAAUGAAAAAAUUAUAGUAAAUGGAAUUUUUUGGUGGGUGUGGCCUAUGUGGGCGGGCGCCCCAGGGUUGGGAUUGGGGCCAUGCAUAGUUGAGAUUGACCCUAAUGUCAUAACAAAAGUUCAGUAUCAAUUUGAAGUGAAUCCGUGUAGAAAUGAAAAAAUUAUAGUAAAUGGAAAUUUUUGGUGGGUGUGGCCUAUGUGGGCGGGGCGCCCCAGGGUUGGGAAUGGGGCCAUGCAUGGUUGAGAUUGACCGUAUUGUCAUAAGAGAGGUCCAGUAUCAAUUUGAAGUGAAUCAGUGUAGAAAUAAAGAAGUAAAUGUAAAAUAACCUAAAAAAAUGAGUGAUAAUUUCUGACGCGGCCCCACCCCAACUGCUAUAACUUUUGACCCAGGGGUCAGAUCAAAAUUCCAAAUAGUGCAGGGUCGCACAUAUGCUCAUAGCUACCAUGUGUGUAAGUUUCAAGGUCCUAGUGCUUUUAGUGUAGGAGGAGAUAGUGGCCAGGACGGACGGACGGACAGACGGACGGACGGCGGAGAUAACCACAAUAUCCC
This is a long non-coding RNA of Dreissena polymorpha, 733 nucleotides long. RefSeq lists it as uncharacterized. The transcript has 2 exons. NCBI's taxonomy places the organism in Eukaryota, Metazoa, Mollusca, Bivalvia, Myida, Dreissenidae. The record is from RefSeq and is a predicted model, not a curated record.